AUACCUUUCUCGGCCUUUUGGCUAAGAUCAAGUGUAGUAUCUGUUCUUAUCAGUUUAAUAUCUGAUAUGUGGGCCAUUGGCCCACUCGAUAUUAAUCUUAUUUUUUAUGGGGAAAGACCCAUCACAAUAGCUUGCUAUUGGGGUCUUUGAGCGUUGCUUUGGCGUUGCACUACUGCCUUGGCCUGGCGCACCUCUC
Molecule: small nuclear RNA, 196 nt
Filed under: Helianthus annuus (common sunflower)
Lineage: Eukaryota; Viridiplantae; Streptophyta; Magnoliopsida; Asterales; Asteraceae
Description: sRNA HanXRQr2_Chr03g0108461
Rfam family: U2 spliceosomal RNA
About the family: U2 is a small nuclear RNA (snRNA) component of the spliceosome (involved in pre-mRNA splicing). Complementary binding between U2 snRNA (in an area lying towards the 5' end but 3' to hairpin I) and the branchpoint sequence (BPS) of the intron results the bulging out of an unpaired adenosine, on the BPS, which initiates a nucleophilic attack at the intronic 5' splice site, thus starting the first of two transesterification reactions that mediate splicing.
Source: Rfam by way of RNAcentral